CGCGGGGGCAACCCUGGCGGCGAGCGGCGAACGGGUGAGUAACAUAUCGGAACGUACCCAGUCGUGGGGAGUAACUAUCCGAAAGGAUAGCUAAUACCGCAUACGUCCUGAGGGAGAAAGCGGGGAGUCGCAAGACCUCGCGCGAUUGGAGCGGCCGAUAUCGGAUUAGCUAGUUGGUGGGGUAAAGGCUCACCAAGGCGACGAUCCGUAGCGGGUCUGAGAGGACGACCCGCCACACUGGAACUGAGACACGGUCCAGACUCCUACGGGAGGCAGCAGUGGGGAAUUUUGGACAAUGGGGGCGAACCCUGAUCCAGCCAUUCCGCGUGAGUGAUGAAGGCCUUAGGGUUGUAAAGCUCUUUUACCAGGGAUGAUAAUGACAGUACCUGGAGAAUAAGCUCCGGCUAACUCCGUG
RNAcentral lists this ribosomal RNA (415 nucleotides) under uncultured bacterium. RNAcentral's name for it is "bacterial SSU rRNA". It matches the Rfam family "Bacterial small subunit ribosomal RNA", at positions 72 to 507 of the family's 1533-position model. The record is from RNAcentral.